Molecule: ribosomal RNA, 405 nt
Filed under: uncultured bacterium
Lineage: Bacteria
Description: partial 16S ribosomal RNA
Rfam family: Bacterial small subunit ribosomal RNA
Source: RNAcentral
GACGAACGCUGGCGGCGCGCUUAACACAUGCAAGUCGAGCGAAGCGGCGGACGGGUGAGUAACACGUGAGUAACCUGCCUUAGACAUUGGGAUAGCCUCGGGAAACCGGGUUUAAUACCAAAUGGUCUAAGAUGGACUCGCGUCCCAUUAGCUAGUUGGUGGGUAACGGCCCACCAAGGCGACGAUGGGUAGCCGGACUGAGAGAGUGAAAGGACACAUUGGAGAUGAGAAACGGUCCAAACUCUACAGGAGGCAGCAGUGGGGAAAAUUGCACAAUGGAGGGAGCUCUGAUGCGGCGACGCGGCGUGAACGAAGAAGGCUGUCGAGUCGUAAAGUGCUUUUAUAUGGGAAGCGGUACCAUAAGAAAAAGCCCCGGCUAACUACGUGCCAGCAGCCGCGUAAUUC